AUUGAACGCUGGCGGCAUGCUUUACACAUGCAAGUCGAACGGCAGCGGGGGCUUCGGCCCGCCGGCGAGUGGCGAACGGGUGAGUAAUGCAUCGGAACGUGCCCAGUCGUGGGGGAUAACACAUCGAAAGAUGUGCUAAUACCGCAUACGUCCUGAGGGAGAAAGCGGGGGAUCUUCGGACCUCGCGCGAUUGGAGCGGCCGAUGUCGGAUUAGCUAGUUGGUGGGGUAAAAGCCCACCAAGGCGACGAUCCGUAGCGGGUCUGAGAGGAUGAUCCGCCACACUGGGACUGAGACACGGCCCAGACUCCUACGGGAGGCAGCAGUGAGGAAUAUUGGUCAAUGGACGCAAGUCUGAACCAGCCACGUCGCGUGAAGGAAGACGGCCCUACGGGUUGUAAACUUCUUUUAUACGGGAAUAAAGUGCCCCACGCGUGGGGUUUUGCAUGUACCGUAUGAAUAAGGAUCGGCUAACUCCGUGCCAGCAGCCGCGGUAAGUACGC
This 501-nucleotide ribosomal RNA is filed under the name uncultured bacterium. Its description in RNAcentral is "bacterial SSU rRNA". It matches the Rfam family "Bacterial small subunit ribosomal RNA", at positions 30 to 528 of the family's 1533-position model. The record is from RNAcentral.